AGAAGUCGGUAUUCUAACCGCAAGGAGAAAGCCGCCCAAGGUAGGAUUGAUGAUUAGGGUGAAGUCGUAACAAGGUAUCCGUACGAGAACGUGCGGAUGGAUCACCUCCUUUCUAUGGAGUUAAUACUUUAUAGUAAUUAACUAGUUUUAAUGACCGUUAUGUUUAGUUUUCAGAGAUUAGUUUCUCUGACAAUAACAAGUAAAUGUUAUUGGAAUUGUUCUUUGAAAACUGGAUAAUAGACAUCUAGUUAUUUUAAUCACUUGAUUAAAAUAACAAUAAUUCAAAAUUUCUGUUAUUUUUAAAAAAUAACUAAAAUUUCACAGUUAUAUUUGUAAAUAAUUCUCAAAAAACUGAUUUAAAAUCAGGUCAAAUAAUUUAUAAAACUUUGAAGUUACAAAGGG
Molecule: unclassified non-coding RNA, 402 nt
Filed under: Spiroplasma endosymbiont of Drosophila mojavensis
Lineage: Bacteria; Bacillati; Mycoplasmatota; Mollicutes; Entomoplasmatales; Spiroplasmataceae
Description: partial contains 16S ribosomal RNA, 16S-23S ribosomal RNA intergenic spacer, and 23S ribosomal RNA
Rfam family: Bacterial small subunit ribosomal RNA (bases 1-112)
Source: RNAcentral